AGAGUUUGAUCCUGGCUCAGAUUGAACGCUGGCGGCAGGCCUAACACAUGCAAGUCGAGCGGCAGCGGGACCUUCGGGUUGCCGGCGAGCGGCGGACGGGUGAGUAAUGCCUAGGAAUCUGCCUGUUAGUGGGGGAUAACGCGGGGAAACUCGCGCUAAUACCGCAUACGUCCUACGGGAGAAAGUGGGGGACCUUCGGGCCUCACGCUAACAGAUGAGCCUAGGUCGGAUUAGCUAGUUGGUGGGGUAACGGCCCACCAAGGCGACGAUCCGUAACUGGUCUGAGAGGAUGAUCAGUCACACUGGAACUGAGACACGGUCCAGACUCCUACGGGAGGCAGCAGUGGGGAAUAUUGGACAAUGGGCGAAAGCCUGAUCCAGCCAUGCCGCGUGUGUGAAGAAGGUCUUCGGAUUGUAAAGCACUUUAAGCCGGGAGGAAGGGCUGUAGGCGAAUACCCUGCAGUCUUGACGUUACCGGCAGAAUAAGCACCGGCUAACUUCGUGCCAGCCGCCGCGGUAAUUC
This 523-nucleotide ribosomal RNA is filed under the name Azotobacter vinelandii. Its description in RNAcentral is "bacterial SSU rRNA". It matches the Rfam family "Bacterial small subunit ribosomal RNA", at positions 8 to 526 of the family's 1533-position model. The record is from RNAcentral. Lineage: Bacteria; Pseudomonadati; Pseudomonadota; Gammaproteobacteria; Pseudomonadales; Pseudomonadaceae.